UCCAACCUGGGGUGUGCGCCAGUUGGUUAUGUCCUCGAGCCGAUAAUGUACACCCAGGGUGUAUCUAGCUUGUUGCCGGUGUGCAUGUCCGCCUGUCGGAAAGCCUUAAGGCAACACAGGUGCGCCCACCUUGAACCUCGGGUUCAAGGCUACGCCGGCAGCGGCACCCCGGGCACUUC
This 179-nucleotide non-coding RNA is filed under the name Pseudomonadales bacterium. Its description in RNAcentral is "6S RNA". It matches the Rfam family "6S / SsrS RNA". Rfam says of the family: E. coli 6S RNA was the first non coding RNA to be sequenced, but its function was unknown until recently. Lineage: Bacteria; Pseudomonadati; Pseudomonadota; Gammaproteobacteria; Pseudomonadales. RNAcentral also lists the same sequence under 1 other name. The record is from RNAcentral.